UUCCAGAGAUGGAUUGGUGCCUUCGGGAACUGUGAGACAGGUGCUGCAUGGCUGUCGUCAGCUCGUGUUGUGAAAUGUUGGGUUAAGUCCCGCAACGAGCGCAACCCUUAUCCUUUGUUGCCAGCGGUCCGGCCGGGAACUCAAAGGAGACUGCCAGUGAUAAACUGGAGGAAGGUGGGGAUGACGUCAAGUCAUCAUGGCCCUUACGACCAGGGCUACACACGUGCUACAAUGGCGCAUACAAAGAGAAGCGACCUCGCGAGAGCAAGCGGACCUCAUAAAGUGCGUCGUAGUCCGGAUUGGAGUCUGCAACUCGACUCCAUGAAGUCGGAAUCGCUAGUAAUCGUGGAUCAGAAUGCCACGGUGAAUACGUUCCCGGGCCUUGUACACACCGCCCGUCACACCAUGGGAGUGGGUUGCAAAAGAAGUAGGUAGCUUAACCUUCGGGAGGGCGCUUACCACUUUGUGAUUCAUGACUGGGGUGAAGUCGUAACAAGGUAACCGUAGGGGAACCUGC
RNAcentral lists this ribosomal RNA (517 nucleotides) under Salmonella enterica. RNAcentral's name for it is "bacterial SSU rRNA". It matches the Rfam family "Bacterial small subunit ribosomal RNA", at positions 998 to 1515 of the family's 1533-position model. RNAcentral also lists the same sequence under 4 other names. Lineage: Bacteria; Pseudomonadati; Pseudomonadota; Gammaproteobacteria; Enterobacterales; Enterobacteriaceae. The record is from RNAcentral.